This 208-nucleotide long non-coding RNA is filed under the name Vigna radiata. RNAcentral describes it as "long non-coding RNA (VRAD_LNC004915)". Lineage: Eukaryota; Viridiplantae; Streptophyta; Magnoliopsida; Fabales; Fabaceae. The record is from RNAcentral.
UGCAUGCAUGUGGAUGGGCUAAUACCAGGGAUGUCCGCCAAACUCCAACCUAUGGCUUUCUUAUGCGCCCUCAACACUCCAAGCAACCUCUCCUCUUGAACAGAAUCAAGGGAGGUGGAAAUGAUCACCGGUUUCCUCUCAUCAUCCUCCAAGUACACGUACUUGAGGUUUUCUGGGAGUUGUUUCAGCUCAAGAGUGGGUUCCUGCA